Long non-coding RNA from Anguilla rostrata (American eel), 760 nucleotides. RefSeq lists it as uncharacterized. Lineage: Eukaryota; Metazoa; Chordata; Actinopteri; Anguilliformes; Anguillidae. The transcript has 2 exons. The record is from RefSeq and is a predicted model, not a curated record.
UAAAGGGAUAGUUGCUGUGCAAGCGCUGCUUUGGUGAUACAUGAUUCCUGAAGUGUGUGUUCUUGUCGAGAUCUCUAACCAGCGAAUAUUUUACCAGUCGGUGUAGAGCGAGCAUGUCGUCAGAAACAGAAAUAUGCCUACCAGCUGGACAGUCCUGGACCGUGACAGCCCACCCAAAACCUCGCUGCCCUGCCACAGAUCCGGACUGUGGUUGCCCGGGCAACCGUCCAGCACAGAAGUGGCAGAGGGCAGCAAUAAGAGGACGCUCAGAGGGGAAAUCUUUCCCCCAAAGCCCGGAGCAAACGGAGGCUGGAAAAAAAAAGAGAGAGAGCCACAAAGAGGAGCUGUUUGCUCAGUUUAGCGCCGCCUUGGUCAGGACGCUCCCCGAGCGCAGCGGGGCUUUGGCAUGGCUGUGGAUACAUCGGGUCCUGUUUGGGAACGAGACGGAGGCUCAGACGCACCCUGCUGGGCCCCUCACCAGCAGGGUCUGAUACCCCGCCCCAGGAAGGGAACUGCUCAUUUUGGGCGACGUGCUAAAAGAACAGCCGCCCGUAAUGCGUCUGGUGCAGCUUCACUUUGUCUUUGUGCUGUAAUGGAUAGCCAGGAAUGGGCAUAUUCUGAAUGCGCUAUUCUGCUGUGCGCUAGCCCUGUGCACUGAAAAUUAUUGGUUACAUGAUCGUUUGCAUUCCCUACCCUCUUUUCUGCCCCAAAUUAUAACCAAGUUUUUAGUUGAUCUAAAUACAAAGAUACAGCUAAACAA